AGAGUUUGAUCCUGGCUCAGGAUGAACGCUAGCGGCAGGCCUAAUACAUGCAAGUCGAGGGGCAGCACGGUAGCAAUACUGGUGGCGACCGGCGCACGGGUGCGUAACACGUAUAUAAUCUGCCUUUAACAGGGGGAUAGCCCGGAGAAAUCCGGAUUAAUACCCCAUAACACUUUAGUUAGCAUUAACAGAAGUUGAAAGCUCCGGCGGUUAAAGAUGAGUAUGCGUCUGAUUAGCUAGUUGGUGAGGUAACGGCUCACCAAGGCGACGAUCAGUAGGGGAUCUGAGAGGAUUAACCCCCACACGGAUACUGAGACACGGAUCCGACUCCUACGGGAGGCAGCAGUAAGGAAUAUUGGACAAUGCCCGCAAGGGUGAUCCAGCCAUGCCGCGUGCAGGAAGACGGCCCUAUGGGUUGUAAACUGCUUUUACACCGGAGAAAACCUCCCCUCGUGAGGGGAGCUGAUAGUAUGGUAGAAUAGCUCGCCUCCC
RNAcentral lists this ribosomal RNA (492 nucleotides) under uncultured Alkaliflexus sp. Its description in RNAcentral is "bacterial SSU rRNA". It matches the Rfam family "Bacterial small subunit ribosomal RNA", at positions 8 to 498 of the family's 1533-position model. The record is from RNAcentral. Lineage: Bacteria; Pseudomonadati; Bacteroidota; Bacteroidia; Marinilabiliales; Marinilabiliaceae.